GCUUGCUUGGUGGAUCAGUGGCGAACGGGUGAGUAACACGUGAGCAACCUGCCCUGGACUCUGGGAUAAGCGCUGGAAACGGCGUCUAAUACUGGAUAUGAGCUCCUUCCGCAUGGUGGGGGUUGGAAAGAUUUUUCGGUCUGGGAUGGGCUCGCGGCCUAUCAGCUUGUUGGUGAGGUAAUGGCUCACCAAGGCGUCGACGGGUAGCCGGCCUGAGAGGGUGACCGGCCACACUGGGACUGAGACACGGCCCAGACUCCUACGGGAGGCAGCAGUGGGGAAUAUUGCACAAUGGGCGGAAGCCUGAUGCAGCAACGCCGCGUGAGGGAUGACGGCCUUCGGGUUGUAAACCUCUUUUAGCAGGGAAGAAGCGAAAGUGACGGUACCUGCAGAAAAAGCGCCGGCUAACUACGUGCCAGCAGCCGCGGUAAUACGUAGGGCGCAAGCGUUAUCCGGAAUUAUUGGGCGUAAAGAGCUCGUAGGCGGUUUGUCGCGUCUGCUGUGAAAUCCCGAGGCUCAACCUCGGGCCUGCAGUGGGUACGGGCAGACUAGAGUGCGGUAGGGGAGAUUGGAAUUCCUGGUGUAGCGGUGGAAUGCGCAGAUAUCAGGAGGAACACCGAUGG
This 623-nucleotide ribosomal RNA is filed under the name Microbacterium sp. RNAcentral's name for it is "bacterial SSU rRNA". It matches the Rfam family "Bacterial small subunit ribosomal RNA", at positions 78 to 715 of the family's 1533-position model. Lineage: Bacteria; Bacillati; Actinomycetota; Actinomycetes; Micrococcales; Microbacteriaceae. The record is from RNAcentral.